This 601-nucleotide ribosomal RNA is filed under the name Dilophotes sp. AE LB-2014. Its description in RNAcentral is "partial 16S ribosomal RNA". It matches the Rfam family "Archaeal large subunit ribosomal RNA", at positions 1906 to 2784 of the family's 2987-position model. The record is from RNAcentral. Lineage: Eukaryota; Metazoa; Arthropoda; Insecta; Coleoptera; Lycidae.
CAUGUCUUUUUGCUAAUGAUUUAAAGUCUGGCCUGCUCGAUGAGUUUUAAAUUGCCGCAGUAUUUUGACUGUGCAAAGGUAGCAUAAUAAUUAGUUUCUUAAUUAGGAGCUUGAAUGAAUGGUUUAACAAGAAAAUUACUGUCUCUAUUUUAUUUUUUAUUGAAUUUUAUUUUUAAGUUAAAAGGCUUAAAUUUUUUUAAAAGACGAGAAGACCCUAUAGAGUUUUAUUAUUUGGUUUAUUUAUUAUUUAGAAAUUUAAUUAGACUAAUUAAUUUGGUUGGGGUGACUCAUGGAUUAAUUAAAUUCUUUGAUUAUGGGAUUGUUGAUUUUUAAAUUUAUUUUCUGUAUUUUCAAGUUUAAAUUAAAUUACCUUAGGGAUAACAGCGUAAUUUUCCUUUAAAGUUCUUAUUAAAAGGAGAGUUUGCGACCUCGAUGUUGGAUUAAAAUAAAUUUUUGGUGCAGUAACUUAGGGAUUAGGUCUGUUCGACCUUUAAAAUUUUACAUGAUCUGAGUUUAGACCGGCGUGAGCCAGGUUAGAUUCUAUCUUUAGAAUUUUUUGAUAUUUUAGUACGAAAGGACCAAAUAUUGAUUAUAAUAAUUG